GACAUAGGGGGCAAGCGUUGUCCGGAAUUACUGGGCGUAAAGGGAGCGUAGGCGGGAAAUUAAGUUAAGUGUGAAAGCCUUGGGCUUAACCCAAGAAAUGCACUUGAUACUGGUUUUCUAGAGUGUAGGAGAGGUAAGUGGAAUUCCUAGUGUAGCGGUAAAAUGCGUAGAGAUUAGGAGGAACAUCAGAGGCGAAGGCGGCGGUCUGGCCUGUAACUGACGCUCAUUCCCGAAAGCGUGGGGAGCAAAUAGG
RNAcentral lists this ribosomal RNA (253 nucleotides) under uncultured bacterium. RNAcentral's name for it is "partial 16S ribosomal RNA". It matches the Rfam family "Bacterial small subunit ribosomal RNA", at positions 524 to 776 of the family's 1533-position model. The record is from RNAcentral.